GUUGUGGUUCAUUGGUAGAGUGCUUGCCUAGCACGUAUGAGGCCCUGAGUUCCAUCCUCAGCACAACA
This 68-nucleotide transfer RNA is filed under the name Ictidomys tridecemlineatus (thirteen-lined ground squirrel). Its description in RNAcentral is "Spermophilus tridecemlineatus (thirteen-lined ground squirrel) tRNA". It matches the Rfam family "tRNA". From Rfam's summary of the family: Transfer RNA (tRNA) molecules are approximately 80 nucleotides in length. Their secondary structure includes four short double-helical elements and three loops (D, anti-codon, and T loops). Further hydrogen bonds mediate the characteristic L-shaped molecular structure. tRNAs have two regions of fundamental functional importance: the anti-codon, which is responsible for specific mRNA codon recognition, and the 3' end, to which the tRNAs corresponding amino acid is attached (by aminoacyl-tRNA synthetases). tRNAs cope with the degeneracy of the genetic code in two manners: having more than one tRNA (with a specific anti-codon) for a particular amino acid; and 'wobble' base-pairing, i.e. permitting non-standard base-pairing at the 3rd anti-codon position. The record is from Rfam by way of RNAcentral. Lineage: Eukaryota; Metazoa; Chordata; Mammalia; Rodentia; Sciuridae.